Molecule: long non-coding RNA, 5244 nt
Filed under: Capsicum annuum
Lineage: Eukaryota; Viridiplantae; Streptophyta; Magnoliopsida; Solanales; Solanaceae
Description: long non-coding RNA (CANN_LNC019839)
Source: RNAcentral
ACCAAACCCAAAAGACUGACCCAGCCCACACCCCUUUAAUACUCUCUUCUCCAAUACAGCAAACAACAACAUUUAAUAUCAACAAAACCAAAUCAUUAACUCCCUUUGCCCUUUCUUUUCCCCAUCAAUAUCAAUAAUUUCAACAAAAACAACAACCAACCACGCUUUCAAACAUCACAACGUACAAAAUCAGUCAACAAUAGCUGCAACAACAACUCAACAACAAUGAUCAAAUCGUACCAAUUUUAUCCCAAAAUUCAAAAUUUCAAAAUCUUUUCCAAAAAUUCAAAAAUACCCUCCUCUGUUCCCCUCAAAAUUGGUCCAUAAAUACCCAAGAAAAAGAGUGAAGGAGGGGGGAUCUCUUUGGAGAAUUCUUAAGAGAAAAAAAAAAAGGAACUUUUUGGAGAGGAUUUUAAGGAAAAAAUUGGGGAUUAUGGAGGCGCAUGCUUCUAAUCCCACAUAACUGAAAAUUUUUGAAGAACACAUCCGAAAAACUUGAUUCCGGCGAACAAAAGCAUCGGUGAAGGCUUCGUCGUAAUAGACUCUUCUGUCCUGGUUCCUGCCCCAAAAAGGUAAAUAACUCAGUUCUUUUUUUUUUUGUUUACACUUUUUCCUCUGCUCGGCGUGCGAAUGCGAUAUUAUAAACUAUAGUUGAAUAUUCUGCUCUUCCUGUUAUUGUGGGAUUUGUAUAAUUUAUGUCUACCUUAAUAAUGAAUUAAUAAAUUAAUAAAUAAAGGCUAAUAAUCGAGUGUUAUUAAUUUUGGGGAAAACGGAAAGGAGUUGAGGGAGAAAAAGGAAUUGCAGGACGUGGUCAUAUGGGUACAUGAUUUUUGUUAAUUUUUUUUUUUUUAAUCUUUUCCUUACUUCUUGUUUAGGAAAGAAAUUAUUAUUCUCUAAAUUAAUCAUGUAUCAUUAUAAUUAUUAUUAUUUUAAAAAAGGAAUGAUUUUCCUGAUUGUUAGUUGGAUUUUACAGUAUUUAUUUAUUUAAGGUAAAAUAAUUUUUAAUUGUCACUUAAUUUGUUUGUCUAUUUAUUGUCUCCUUUUAUAUGUUGUUUCGGGUUACUAGAAUACUAAUCCCUUUUACUUACUUCAAACAAAUUGAUUCUAGAGUUGGUAGUGAAUAUGUAUGAAUAAUAAAUUUUUUCACAUUGCUUUUUUGACUAGUUAUGUUUGUACUAUUUGAAUAAAGUCUUAUCUUUAUAUUUUUUUUUGAUGCAUGUGACACCGACUUGAAUCCAAUUGGACUUCUUCGCCCCAGCACUUCUUAGAGACCAAAGUCCCGAAAAUGGACUAAAUCCAACCAAUCAUUUAAUGUAUAUGAACAGUAAAGAAAAAUUUUCAGUAAGAUGCACAGACUACAAAUAUACAAAUAACAAAAAACUGAUGAAGAAAUUGAAGAAUGUGAAAAUAUUAAUUUUAUGAAUAUAUAAAUAUUAGAAGAAGACUUUGAAGUAAAUAAAGCUAUAAUAAAAGCAGAAGUGCUAUAUGAAAUAAAUAGCAAUAGUGCAUUUAAAUGUACAGGUUGUAAAUUAGGGAAUUUAAAACUUGAAGAAAUAAAAGAACAUUUUAUAAAAUGUGAAUUAAGAAUAGAUAAUUAUAGUUAAACGCGUAAACAGGAACUAAAAGGUGAAGACGAAGAAUCAAAUUAUAGUAUAGAAGAAAGUAUAAAGGAAUUUAUGGAAAGCACAACAAGUUUCUCAAGCCCUUUCCAAAGAGCAACCGAUAUACAAAACGUACCAUUAACAACAGGAAAGUUACCAAGGCAUAGAGUAUUUAGAACAAACCCAAACACUCUAAUAGAACAAGACAUAAAACCUAGAGGAAAAAGAAUGCCAAUAGAAAAACCCAUUAGAUUACAAAAAGGAAGUAAUAAAGGAAAAAUUUUAAACUUGCCAGCCCAUGACCCUCAGGCAUGGAAUCAUGUCAUAGACAUAUGAAAAAAUGUAGUUGUAGCAGACUACAUACAACAUAUACAGGGUAAUCAAGAACCAAAUGCAGAAAUUAUGUAUAGAUAUUUAUAAACAUUUCUAGGAGAAAGUAUUAAAGCACUUUGGGAAGCUUAUAAAAUAAUAUUCCCACAAGACUUUCAAGAAUUAGUAGAACUAGGCUCAAAUUCAUACAAUUUUGUAAAUAAGGUACAUACUCUACUAACAUGCCAAGAUCUCAAUAGUGGAUUAGUAGUAUUACAACAAAGAGCUUUAAUAAAUUUAGAACAAUUAAGUAUUAAUCAUUGGUCAAAAAUUAAAGAAUUUUUAAAUGAUUACUUUUAUUAUUGUACAAUUAGUGGAAACACAUUUGAUCAGACUCUAGGAGCUAGAUUAUUUAAUAAAUUACCAGGAGCUUUAGAAAGAGAGAUAGAAGAAAAAUGGUCUAAAAGAGAAGGUUUAAUACAAACAAACAACCCAUGGUCAAUAGGACAAAGAAUACAACAUGUAAUGAAUGUAUUACAAGAAAAAUGUACAAAUAUACAGAUAUAAAAAUAAUUAAAAUGAAGUGAUACAGAUUUUUGUAAGACCAUAUAUACUACUCAACACUAUGACCAAGAUUAUAAAAAGAAAAAAUAUUUGAUAAAUAUAGAUGAAUAUAUGUCAGAUAAUGAAAGUAUAUACUCUAUCAGAAGUAUGGAAGUUUUUGAAUAAGAAAAGGAUAAUUCUGAUUCUCCAGACUCUGGAGAAAACGGAUUUAUAAAUGAAAUAGGACUAGAAAGAACAAAUACAGACUAUCACUUAGUCAAUAACACAGACUAUCACUUAGUCACAGACUAUUAUGAUUUAGUAAAUCUGAUAGAAGAACGUGAACACAAAUUUGAAGAAGGAAAAAGAUUAGACAGUUAUCAAUGUUGUUUUUGUAAAUGGUUUCCAAGUAAAAACAAAAGGGCAAAAUGUAGGAAAUGUUACAAGGAAGCAUGCAUAAAAUGUAUAGAGAAAGCAUCAGAAAUCUUAGAAACUUCGAAAUCAACCCGUAAUUUAAAUAAAUUUUACAACAAGGAACCAAUAACAAGAACAACAAAAGAUCGAAUAUUAGAAUUAGAAGAAAGACUAAAAAGACUAGAGAUAAGAAUAUACAGUAAAGAUAUAAUUAAGGAAGAUGACUUAGUAGAGGUAGAAUUAUUUAAUACAUCUGUUAGAAAUAAUAAAGUUAAAAAUUGAUGAAUGUACCAUUUGAAGGAAUGGUAUGUAAUGAAGAAAAGAAAAUUAGUACAGUCAAGGUUUUAGCGAGAAUAAAAAUUCAAGACCAUGAGUUCGAGACUUUAGCUGUAGUUGAUUUAGGAUGUACAAAGAGCAUUUUAAAUAGUAGAAUUUUACCAGCAAAAUUAAUUAAAAAAUUGCCAAAACCUCAAGAAUCCAUGCAAAUGGAUGGGACAUAUAAUACCUAUACAGACUAUAUACCAAAAGCAAAAAUAAAUUUUAUUAAUACAUGUGAAAAAUUCUACCAACUAUCAUAUACACUUAGUGAAAUACUAGUUAGAGAUUUGGAUAAAAGUUUUAAUUUAUUUUGUUAAGAUAGCACAUUAUUUGUUAGACUGCUUUGGGUAAAAGUUUUAAUUUAUUUUGUUGGAAUAAUUGUAUUUCUUUAUCUACGUCUAUUACUUCUUCUAACUGUUGUCUUGAAGUCAUUCUUGGUUUAUUUAUUAUUUUUGAUAGCACAUUAUUUGUUAAACUGUUUUGGGUAAAACUUGAUCUUUGUCUUGUAAAACUUGAUCUUUUUCUACUUGGGAAUGCUGAAAAAAGGUCCAUGGUUUUGGCUUAGUUGGUAUAGUUAUUUUAGCUUCUUUUAAUUCUUUUUGAGGGGUUAUUUCUAUCCUUUUUAGUUGUUAUAUUAAUUCUUCUAUAUUUUUAUCUUGAUUGUCUUUUUCUAAGGUUUCCUUUUCUAGUUUUAGUAGUAGUUAUUGGAGAUGGUAGAAUAAAAUUGCAACCACACAUAGAUAAAAAAAAGUCUUAGAAAUGUCAAAUAAAUUAGACAAGACUAAAGAUUUACAAAAAAUUUUAGGACUCUUAAAUUAUGCUAGAGCUUUCAUCAAAGAUUUAGAAAAAGUAGCAGGACCACUAUACUCUAAAAUAGGAUCAAUUUGCCCAAGACCCAAAUGCAAACGAUAAUUCAGGAAUGGAGUUUGACUCAGAGGCUUUACAUAAUUUGGACACGUAAGCAGUGACAAUAUCUACAAAAGACAAAAUAGCAGACGUAAGAAAUAUUAGAUAAAUAAAUGAACGGAGGAGAAUUAAAGAAAGAUAUUUGCCGCCGGGCCCACCCAAGUUGAUAAAUCUUGCUAAAGUCUUUACAAAGGAUUUGAAAUCCACAAAAAAGUAAGAUUUGAAGUCCAAAAAUGCCUAUAAAUACUCCCUUUAUGGAAGACAAAAACAUGUACCAAAGAGAGAAAAAAAUCAAGAGUGAGAAAGUAUUCAUAAAGUUCUUAGCUUUUCUUAAAGUUCUUAGUUUCCAAAGUUUGUAAGUUACUUCAAAAAAAAAAAAAAAGAGGAGUGUGUGAAAAGUGUGAAAAGUUUUCUUAGUUCUUCAUUUUUCGGUGGCUAUCAAGUUUUCAGGGGACUCACGAAAGGGAAACCUCACUUCUUCAUUAAGGCAUGUAAGUAGUAGUUACAUAGGUCUAAAUGCAAACGACAUGACCAGCCAUUCAAAAUGUCCUUCUGGACAUAUGAAAGUUGUCUAUUCUAUACUAUUUUCAUGCAUUUUAAUCUGCCAAUAUCCAGAUUUACAAUCAAAUUUACUAAAUACUUUUCUUCCUUGUAUUCUAUUUAUCAAUUCUGUUUUGUCUAGUAACUUAUAUCCAUCAAUUACAGUAUUAUCAUUUAGUCUUUUGUAAUUUAUUACCAUUCUAGUUUUUCCUCUCACUAUUUCACUAUGGUUUCUUACUAUGAAAGCUGCUGACCUAUAUCUUGACGUAGAUCUUCUAAUUAUUCCUAAUUAUAGUAGCUUUUUUAUUUGUAUUUCAAAGUCUUUAAGGUCUUCAUUUGUAGUUUCUAUAGAUGUUGUUUUUAUAGUAUAUUCUGGAUUAAUUAUUUCUAAUUUGCAGGUAAUUUGAUUGGAGUCCCAAUGUUGCAAGGAUUUUUCUCCAAUUAUUUCUAGCUUAUCUAGGAUUUGUAUUAUUUUUUCUAAGUCUAUUUGAUCUUUUAUUACUCCUAUCUGUUGUAUACCUCUCUUAAAAUUGUAUAAUUCUAUAUUUAUUUCUAUUAAAGUAUAGUCUUUUUCUAUUUCUUCUACUACUAAUAAAUCUUGUAAUUCUUCAUA